AAUCAACGCUGGCGGCGUGGAUAAGACAUGCAAGUCGAACGGGAUUACUUUUGUAGCAAUACAGAAGUAAUUCAGUGGCGAACGGGUGCGUAACACGUGGGCAAUCUGCCGAAAAGUGGGGGAUAGCUCGCCGAAAGGCGAAUUAAUACCGCAUGUGGUGAGGGACGACAUCUUCCUGAAUCCAAAGCCGGGGCAACCUGGCGCUUUUUGAGGAGCCCGCGGCCUAUCAGCUUGUUGGUGAGGUAACGGCUCACCAAGGCUUUGACGGGUAGCUGGUCUGAGAGGACGACCAGUCACACUGGAACUGAGACACGGCCCAGACUCCUACGGGAGGCAGCAGUGGGGGAAUCUUGCGCAAUGGGCGAAAGCCUGACGCAGCGACGCCGCGUGAGGGAUGACGGCCUC
RNAcentral lists this ribosomal RNA (405 nucleotides) under uncultured bacterium. RNAcentral's name for it is "bacterial SSU rRNA". It matches the Rfam family "Bacterial small subunit ribosomal RNA", at positions 32 to 418 of the family's 1533-position model. The record is from RNAcentral.